This 69-nucleotide transfer RNA is filed under the name Aminobacter ciceronei. RNAcentral describes it as "tRNA-OTHER". RNAcentral also lists the same sequence under 1 other name. Lineage: Bacteria; Pseudomonadati; Pseudomonadota; Alphaproteobacteria; Hyphomicrobiales; Phyllobacteriaceae. The record is from RNAcentral.
GUAAAGGAAAGCAGCAAAAAUUUCCUCCGAAGGCAGAGGUCACAGGUUCGAAUCCUGUCGGGUGCGCCA